GUCUGUGUGAAUAAAAUACUAAGUCUGGCCUGCCCACUGAGGUUUUAAAGGGCUGCGGUAAUUUGACCGUGCGAAGGUAGCAUAAUCAAUAGUCUUUUAAUUGAAGGCUUGAAUGAAUGGUCUGACAAGAAAACAACUGUCUCGGUUUUUAGUAUUGAAUUUAACAUCUGUGUAAAAAGGCACAGAUACUAUGAAGGGACGAUAAGACCCUAUAAAACUUUAUACAUAAAUGUCAUGAUUAAAAAUUAAUUAAUAAAUUAAGCAAGAUUUUUUAGUAUUUUGCUGGGGCGGCACGGAUAAAAUUAAAAUAACUGUCUUAAGAAUUAAAUAAAAAUAUUUAGAGAAUGAUCCUUUAAUAGGGAUUAUAAGAUUAAGUUACUUUAGGGAUAACAGCGUGAUUUCUCUUGAGAGUCCUUAUCGACAGAGUUAGUUGCGACCUCGAUGUUGAAUUAAAAUUUCCCCCAAGAGCAGAAGCUUGGUAGGUAGGUCUGUUCGACCUUUAACAAUUUUACAUGAUUUGAGUUCAAACCGGUGUGAG
Molecule: ribosomal RNA, 538 nt
Filed under: Betaeus setosus
Lineage: Eukaryota; Metazoa; Arthropoda; Malacostraca; Decapoda; Alpheidae
Description: partial 16S ribosomal RNA
Rfam family: Archaeal large subunit ribosomal RNA
Source: RNAcentral